Molecule: long non-coding RNA, 101 nt
Organism: Sapajus apella (tufted capuchin)
Lineage: Eukaryota; Metazoa; Chordata; Mammalia; Primates; Cebidae
Exons: 3
Source: RefSeq, a predicted model, not a curated record
UGGACAAAAUGGCACUGAGGCCAGGGACAACAAAGUCAUAGUCAAGAGCCCUGGAAUUGGGUUAAGGAGUUUUGAAGCCUUGAAAACAAGUGGGGGCUGGU